AUGGGAACGCGAAGAACCUUACCUAGACUUGACAUCUUCUGCAUUAAUCGUAAUGGAUGAAAUCCCUUCGGGGACAGAAUGACAGGUGGUGCAUGGUUGUCGUCAGCUCGUGUCGUGAGAUGUUGGGUUAAGUCCCGCAACGAGCGCAACCCCUAUUAUUAGUUGUCUAACAUUAAGUUGAGCACUCUAGUGAGACUGCCCGGGUUAACCCGGGUAGGAAGGUGGGGAGUGACGUCAAAUACAUCAUGCCCCUUACUGUCUAGGGCGUACACACGUGCUACAAUGGUGGGAACAAAGGGAUGCAAGACCGCGAGGUGGAGCUAAACCUACAAAACCCCAACUCCCAGUUCGGAUUGUAGGCUGAAACUCGCCUACAUGAAGCUGGAGUUGCUAGUAAUCGCGAAUCAGAAUGUCGCGGUGAAUACGUUCCCGGGUC
This 436-nucleotide ribosomal RNA is filed under the name uncultured bacterium. Its description in RNAcentral is "bacterial SSU rRNA". It matches the Rfam family "Bacterial small subunit ribosomal RNA", at positions 954 to 1380 of the family's 1533-position model. The record is from RNAcentral.